Molecule: transfer RNA, 76 nt
Filed under: Actinomyces sp. oral taxon 848 str. F0332
Lineage: Bacteria; Bacillati; Actinomycetota; Actinomycetes; Actinomycetales; Actinomycetaceae
Description: tRNA-Lys
Rfam family: tRNA
About the family: Transfer RNA (tRNA) molecules are approximately 80 nucleotides in length. Their secondary structure includes four short double-helical elements and three loops (D, anti-codon, and T loops).
Source: RNAcentral
GCACUGCUAGCUCAAUUGGCAGAGCAACUGACUCUUAAUCAGUGGGUUCUGGGUUCGAGUCCCAGGCGGUGUACGA